Molecule: ribosomal RNA, 446 nt
Filed under: uncultured bacterium
Lineage: Bacteria
Description: partial 16S ribosomal RNA
Rfam family: Bacterial small subunit ribosomal RNA
Source: RNAcentral
CCUACGGGUGGCAGCAGUCGAGAAUCAUUCACAAUGGGGGAAACCCUGAUGGUGCGACGCCGCGUGGGGGAAUGAAGGUCUUCGGAUUGUAAACUCCUGUCAUGUGGGAGCAAAUUAAAAAGAUAGUACCACAAGAGGAAUAGACGGCUAACUCUGUGCCAGCAGCCGCGGUAAUACGGAGGUCUCAAGAGUUGUUCGGAAUCACUGGGCGUAAAGCGGUCGUUGGCUGUUUCGUAAGUCGUGUGUGAAAGGCGCGGGCUCAACCCGCGGACGGCACAUGAUAAUGGGAGUCUAGAGUAAUGUAGGGGUAAGCGGAAUUCUCGGUGUAGCAGUGAAAUGCGUAGAGAUCGAGAGGAACACUCGUGGCGAAGGCGGGUUCCUGAACAUUAACUGACGCUGAGGCACGAAGGCCAGGGGAGCGAAAGGGAUUAGAUACCCGAGUAGUC